Molecule: ribosomal RNA, 775 nt
Filed under: uncultured bacterium
Lineage: Bacteria
Description: bacterial SSU rRNA
Rfam family: Bacterial small subunit ribosomal RNA
Source: RNAcentral
AGAGUUUGAUCAUGGCUCAGGACGAACGCUGGCGGCGUGCUUAAUACAUGCAAGUCGAGCGCGACAAUUAAAGAGCUUGCUUUUUAAUUGUUGAGCGGCGGACGGGUGAGUAACGCGUGGGCAAUCUGCCUUCUAGUCCGGGAUAACAGAGCGAAAGAGCUGCUAAAACCGGAUAUGCUUCCGGCCAGACAUCUGGCGGGGAGAAAAAGAGAUGCUAGAAGAUGAGCCCGCGUCCCAUUAGCUAGUUGGUGAGGUAACGGCCCACCAAGGCGACGAUGGGUAGCCGACCUGAGAGGGUGAACGGCCACACUGGGACUGAGACACGGCCCAGACUCCUACGGGAGGCAGCAGUAGGGAAUUUUCGGCAAUGGGCGGAAGCCUGACCGAGCAACGCCGCGUGAGGGAAGAAGGUCUUCGGAUCGUAAACCUUUGUCUUUGGGGACGAUAAUGACGGUACCCAAGGAGGAAGCCACGGCUAACUACGUGCCAGCAGCCGCGGUAAUACGUAGGUGGCAAGCGUUGUCCGGAAUUACUGGGCGUAAAGGGCGUGUAGGCGGCAAUUUAAGUCAGACGUGAAAGAUCAGGGCUUAACCUUGGGACUGCGUUUGAAACUGGAUAGCUAGAGGAUCGGAGAGGGCAGUGGAAUUCCCAGUGUAGCGGUGAAAUGCGUAGAUAUUGGGAGGAACACCAGUGGCGAAGGCGACUGCCUGGACGACACCUGACGCUGAGGCGCGAAAGCUAGGGGAGCAAACGGGAUUAGAUACCCUAGUAGUCC